Molecule: long non-coding RNA, 459 nt
Organism: Stylophora pistillata
Lineage: Eukaryota; Metazoa; Cnidaria; Anthozoa; Scleractinia; Pocilloporidae
Source: RefSeq, a predicted model, not a curated record
GGGACUUAAAUUGGAAUGUUGAAGACGAUGACCUCUACAAAAACAAACCAGAAACUGGCAUCGACGAUGAAAAAGACGAAACCGAAGACGAAGAGAGUAAUAUUUCUUUAAGUUUAACGCACCCCAAAUCGCGGAAAAAUGGGCCACGCACGUCCAAGCCUCCAAGCCACCUUGCAGUACGCACCCUAGGGGUACGCCCUCGUAUACGCCGAAGGAGCUAAGAUCUCUCUAGCAGAUGAUACCCAUAAGGCUCAUGAGGACCAUCCGAACUUGAAGACUAACAAGAAACUUAGCUUCAAGCAUGAGAAUCAAAUUUCUGCAAUAAUACACGGUUAUGAUAAGGUUAUAUUUUAGACGUUAACUCGAACGUAAAACUCGGAAAGAGUUAGUUGUAAUAAUCAUGAGCUUUUCAUCGAUGGAACUUUGGUUUAAAAAGCAAUAAACAAGAAAUUUGGUUCA